Lolium rigidum is the source of this 371-nucleotide long non-coding RNA. RefSeq lists it as uncharacterized. The transcript has 2 exons. The record is from RefSeq and is a predicted model, not a curated record. Lineage: Eukaryota; Viridiplantae; Streptophyta; Magnoliopsida; Poales; Poaceae.
UAUACUUCCUCUAUAUAGCCAUCGGUGUUUUCUUUGCUGGAUGGAUAGAGGUUUCAUGCUGGAUUUUGAUUGGGGAAAGACAGAAGCAGUGAUAAGAUGAAAGUAUGUCCAAAUCUUGCUAAACCAAGACAUGAGUUUCUUUGAUACCUAUGGAAACAAUGGUGAUAUUGUCAGUCAAGUGUUGAGUGAUGUCUUACUCAUUCAGUCUGGUCAAAGUGAGAAGGUGUGUGCCACGACCUACAAAGUGACUCAAAAGGUCACUCAUGGACACAAUUUGUCUUAGGUGUGUAGUUUAAUAUGCUCACUCAUGGACACAAUUAGCUGUUGUAGUUCGAAUUUUUGAUAAUAGAGUAUUACUGCCAUGAUGUACA